AGCAGGCCCCACUUCUAAGAUCUCCUUCUGCAGACUGUCAACUGAAUCCACUGUCGUAACAUCAUGAAGAACAGGUUCACGAGGUUCAACAUCUACAGAUUGUGAUUCAGACUCGGGUUUGACUGGGUCUAAAAUCACAGCAUCAACUUUCUCUGCAAUCUCCGGAUGCUCUUCUUUUUCAUUUAUGAGCAAUUGAUUUUCUUUUUCAACUGUAGGUUGUUCGGUAGCAGAAUCUUGU
RNAcentral lists this unclassified non-coding RNA (238 nucleotides) under Hevea brasiliensis (rubber tree). The record is from RNAcentral. Lineage: Eukaryota; Viridiplantae; Streptophyta; Magnoliopsida; Malpighiales; Euphorbiaceae.